UGUUCUUCUCACAUCGUGUUCAUAAUCAUGAGUGUAGAGACAUUGUAGGGAGAUCUCAAUGCAUAACUAGGGACAUUUUAAAGUAACACCUGGCGGCACUGCGGCUGAGUGAAGGGGUCGAGAAUCGCGUGCCCGGCCGCCCAUUGUUAUCCUUGUCGAACGUAAUGGCCGCCAGAGAGUUUGUUGACGCUCUUCCGUGGUUCCGUUUAGUACGCGUCAACGAAUCCGCGCGAUAAAUCAAUAAAACCUGCAAUUUUUGAAGAGAUAAUAAGGGUUAGGGUUUGUAGUUGAAAGUCUGCGUGCGAGAUAGUUUAAUUCCAAAUAAUAUGCAGUCAUAAUGCUGUGAAACGCAAGGCCAAUGCUCGCUUGGUAUCAGAGACGUCUACCGGACUCAAACAUUCUCUGACAAGUGCCUGGCUCCAGCGCCCUAGCCGAGGGGUUACAAACGAUCACCGGUACUGUAUUUUUCGCAUGUAACGUUCCGAACUGUCGGCCGGAAAAUAAUCCACUGGCAAAGAUAAGUGUUUGAGGAGAUUUUUUAAUCGACUUCAUGGUCAACCCAUGCCUGGGAAUUUGGGAUGCUGCCCACCUUGAUGCUCGUUGGCCGUUGGCCUGUGUAGCCUUUUGUUAACGGCCCAGCAGGUGUAUAUUUGCUAAUUUUUUAUUUUUAAUGUGAUAACGAGUCUACCGGAAUGCAGAUUAUGGAUACAGACUCAAAAAAUCAUCGAGAAUAACGGAGUAGAUGCAUAAACUAUACAAAUCCUGUGUCGGAGACUUGUGAGCCAUAUGAGGAACGUCUCGAAUCAAGAAAAUUCCGUUGCCUGCAUUAGAGUCCCCACACCAGGGUAACUCAACAACAAAAAGAAGACAAUUGAUGGACUUCCAUUUGUGAUCCACGAUCAUUUUCUAGAGAAUGCAAGAAAGCUUAAGGACACCAGCAGCUCAACUGUGGAACCAAUAACAGCCGACUUUUAGUAGUGGAGUGGCUAAAUCUAUACACACGACACCGGUAUGAUCAAAAACGGCACCUCAAUGGCCCUGGAAACGAAUGGUAGCAACGUCGUGUGGUUAAGCUCAUCAGCGCCUGAUCAGAUACAGCAGCAUCUAAUAAAAAAGGACCCGCUCCUGGUCGAAUCAGCCGAAGAGCAUCGUCAUCUACAGCAACAGGAACACAGGUAUCAACGAAGUCUGAUUAAAAUUCCAAAUCAUCAAAAUCAACAAAUAGGACAACCAGUCAAGUGUUCUAUGUUUACGCAGACCGAACAAACUAAUAGCUUCACACAAACAGAGCAGAGCGGUUCCAGCUACAACGAUCAGCGACAGCAAGCCACGAUGUUUGACCCUCAACAAAUUCAACAACAGCAAGCUCCACAAGGUCAGCAGUCUCAGCAGCAGCAACAAUCACAGCAAAUGUACGUGACAGGGGCAGAGAAAAAAGAAGAUAAGCCAUCAGCUACAUCAGAGUUCCCAUUUUAUUAUAACGUGAAUAUGCUGCAGAAAGUUCAAACAAAUGCAGUUAGCACUAUCGGUGCGAUCACAACUGAUGACAAAGGGUGUUAUCGGUUUGACGUUCAGCCUGUUGGUUAUAAUACAUUAUUGAAUCAAAUGAGUAUAGCGGCAGCAACGAACGCUACGUUCAAAUGUGACAUUUGUGGUCUAGUUUUUGGACAUAUGAGUUUACUGAAUCAUCACAAAAGAAUCCACAACACAACUCCGAGCAACCUCCAACAACAACCACAGCAAGUUGUUCAGACACCAACAACAGUUACUGUGGCUAGUACACAGGAUCGGCCUUACACGUGUGACGUAUGCGGAGCCUGUUUUGCCCUUCCUGGAGAAUUAAAGAGCCACAAAACAAAUAUGCAUCAAAAACCUAAGGUGCAAAUUUGUGAAGAUUGCGGUAGUGAUGAGCCUUGUGAACACCAUCCUACAAAAGUAAAGAAAACAAUUAAACCAGGCCAUCAUCCUGUGAAACGGCGCGGAGUUACCAGUGUAACAAAAUGCCACAAGUGCAAUGGAACUGGGAUCAUAUUCAUCGGCAAAGACGAGGAUAAACUAAAUUCUGGGAUCAGUUCACUCGCCAAGUGUGGUGGCUGCAAGGCGACAGGUCGAGUCACCAUUGGAAGUGGAAAGCAAAACAGUCAGAACCAGCCUGAAAAACCUUUCCAUUGUAACGUUUGCGACGGAACGUUUUCCCGAUAUUCGUCUCUGUGGUCCCAUAAGCGACUUCAUUCUGGCGAUAAACCAUUUAAAUGCGAAGUCUGUGGUUUAGCAUUUGCAAAAGCGGCGUACCUGAAAAAUCAUGGUCGUGUUCAUACCGGAGAAAAACCAUUCAAGUGUAGUGUUUGUGGAAUGCAAUUUUCACAAAGUCCACAUUUAAAAAAUCACGAACGAAUUCAUUCCGGUGAACGCCCUUAUCAGUGUGAAGUUUGUGAAAAAACAUUCGCUAGACAUUCAACGCUUUGGAAUCACAGGAGGAUUCAUACUGGUGAAAAACCGUAUCGAUGCAAUAUUUGUGGUUCGGCAUUCAACCAGGCUACUCACCUCAAAAACCACGCUAAAGUUCAUACUGGUGAAAAACCACAUAGGUGUGACAUUUGUGAGAUUGGUUUCUCAGAUCGUUUUGCUCUGAAACGUCAUCGUGCGAUUCAUGAAAAAUAUGGUCAAACAGCAAGGAAUCAGAACAGUAACAGUGCAAACAGUGCGCAGCAAGCCAACACAAGCAAUCAGCAACAACAGCAACAAGCUCAGCAACAAGGUCAACAAUCCCAACAAGUUGUAGUUGUUAAUUCAGCAACGCCGGUGACUGUUAGUCAAGGUCAAGGGCAAGGUCAAAGUCAAAGCCAAGUGAUGAAUACAGAAGACGAGAUGGUAGAUAUUGGUCUACAGACGGCUGAAUUGUGUGACACAAUUUUGAAAACAGAAGACUUUGAUGGUCUUGAAUAAUGAAUAAUUACUGAUUAAUUAUUAGCAGUGAAAAUGUAAAAGUCAGAGAAUACGUAUAGAAGAUCGAUUUACUUUCAACUAUCAAAUCAUGAACAUUUCGAUCUUCUAUCCAUUAUUCAAAGCAAUGAAUGAUAAAUUGGUCUUGUCAUGGUAAGUCGAAUAUUUUUCAAUGUAUAUAAAAUUAACGCCUUUUUAGUGUCUCGGAGUAGGGAAAUAACUUUUUUGACAAUGUAAACACUUUCUUUCUUUCUUGGAACGUUCUUGACGCAGUUAGCGCUUUUUCUUAAUUAUCAUUUUUAUAUAAAAUAAUUCGCAAAACUGAUAGUUCUAACAAACUUUGUCAUUGGCAUAGAUUGUCAUGUAAUCAUAUUGAGUAGGUCAAAUGUCAUCCACGGGGCUUCCACUGAUGUAUUUGAUGAAAAACUAAUUUUAACUGUUAUAGAUAAUAUUUAUAAGAACAGUAUUUGUAAGAUUUACACCUAAAAUAAGUUUGGAUCAAUUAUUUUUCAACCAUUUCCCUGCUGUUCAAACAACGUAAAGAUAACAUAAUUCUUGUAAUUUCUCUAAACAUAUGUUUGUACACAAUUGCACCUUACAACGUUAAUUAAUAUGAAAAAAGACUGCACGUUGAAGGAAUAUUAAAAAUUCAUAACAGAAGUAAUAAAUCUACGUUACGUCAUUACACAGUUUCUUCCAAAUAAAAUUCACCCACGUGAUAUACAAUUGAAGCAAGUUUUUCAUUAAUUUUACAGAAUUGUGUCUGUCAUAAACUUCGUUUUAUUUAUUAAAUUUUUUCCUUGCAUUUAUAUUUCGUGUCUCCAAUUGUAAAUUAUAUUCUUUUUUGUAACAAUUGAAAGGUACUGGAGCUAUAAACGUGAACGAUUUGUACUGUCAUUUUUCAUGCCAUAUUAUUUUUGUGACACAUGUGCAUAAAAUAAAUAUUUCUUGACAAGUGUAAAGUGCCACACAAGCUGAAGGUGAAUACGAACUCAUACGGGUCAAGAAGUCCCUGUAUGCGCACAUGCCACAAAUCCUAUUUUCUAUGCUACCUCCUGUAAAAAACUACAACGUAGUCAAGUUGUUGCCUGCGGCAGCGCAGCAAACAUUUUUAAACCUUCAAUGCUCUUAGUUUUGAUAUUUGUUAAUUUGCAGUUACGUAACAAUUUAAUUCGAGUAAUGUAAAACAAAUACAAUAGCAAAAAGACCCAAUUGAAGAUCCACGUACAUACAAUAUGACAGUCAGAAGUUGUUCUAUAAUCAAAUCAUGUACAUUUUAUCUUUUUUCAGAAUGAAAUAAAAUAUUAAUUCUAAAUAUAUUAUUUCAUGGAAGUUACAAACUGAAUUUGAGUUCUCUACGGAAGGAUAUUAAAAAUUUGCUCACCAUCUUCCCACAAUUAAAAAUUUUACAGACACUAAGAACAGGCUAAAUUGAUCUCAGUUUCCCGCAUAUCAUCACAUGUGAAUCAUGAAGCUGCGGAUACUACUUACAGAAGAUUGGAUUUGUGCUCUUGAAAAUUACAAACAAGAUAUUCCAACUACUUGUACCAAGAUCGACUGACAUUUUACCACCAGAAAUCGUCACUGACUUUGAAAAUAGGGUAACGAUGUGACUCAGUGGGGCUCCUUUGUUAAAUAACCAUCUAAUGAAAAUAUUCUAGCAAAUGGCAAUUAAUAUCUACGUAAUAUGCAAUGACGACACAUUAUCCUAAAAAAGAUAUGGGUGUAUAUAUAUAUAUAUAUAUAUACGCAUACAUACACACACAUGUAAAUUCAUGAAAAUUGCAAUAUCAAUAUUAGUUUAUUAAUAACAGACUUUCGUUGCUGUUUAAAAAAAUCUAGAAUAAUUGGGCUCUGACAUAUGGAUUACAAUAGAAUAUAGUUUGUAAUAAUAGUUUGAUAAGUUAGCCUUAUAUUGAUUUUUAUAUUCACAAUUGUUAUAGUUAUGGCAGUGUACUAUGACUUGACUCACAAACAUUCACUAUACGAUUGUCAGAAUUUUAGAAUUAAAGAUGAUCAAUCACCACAUGCGAUGAUGUCAAGUAGCUUUAAUAUCACUAUCCGAAUGAAUAUAUAGUUAAAUGUACAGUCAAAACAUCGAAAAAGUAAGAUAAUUUCUUAGUUUGUACAAGUAUAACUACAUCUAUGACGAAUUUAUAAAACGUCGGAGUAUGUAUUCAAUACCUAUGAUGAUAUUUUUUUUAGAUUUUAACUGGUCGCCUCUAAAAAUGUCAGCCAAAGUUUUCAAAUUCCGACUUGAUUUUUUUAUUCAAAUCAGAUCAACAACAUCUGUAUUUCUCUUCAUCAUGUAUAACUCAACACAAAUGUUGAUGAUAAAAUUUAACAGAAAGGACGGCUAAUUUUGCAUUGUGUUCAUUCACACUAAAAUAUAAAAAAAUAAAUAAAAAAAACAGGUCGAAACUAUCAAUUCUGAAGUGAAGGUCUCAGUGUUUGAAAUAUGAAUGCGGUUUUUUUUGAUCUGCAUGUUCGAAAUGUGGAUGAAAACCGUGGUUACUCGCUUAACAUCGGUCUCUAAUUUUUUUCUGUAGUUAGUCACAAUGUUUUUUGGCUUAAGAACAUAGGGUGAAUGUGCUGAUGGUCAGCUACUUCAAAAAGUAGACCCAGUGGAUGGGCACUAUUAAACGAAUGGUUGGCCACAGCUAUUUGAUUACGGAAAUUUAUUACGUGUCAACUCAUUAGCAAAGGAAUUACGUUAUAAAAAUACUAAUCUAAACUAACAAAACAAUGUACAUGAUUACGUAAAAAAUGUAUGUUUACAAAACUACUCAUAAAAGAUGAUAAGUAUGGAUCACAGAUGUAUAUUACAGUACUGGCAACUCCCUAUGUCAGCCUUGUCAUAAUUGGUCCCCCUUAUUGUCGGCUAGUUCCGCGUUGUAUCGUCGUUUUGAUUGUGGUGCGCUGACAGUCAAUUCGCAUGGACGAUAAACAUAAACGUGCAAACAAACGAACAAACAGACUUCGAAGUACAUUGGAUCUUUCAAAUACGAUUAACAGCGUUAUUUUAGUUUUCAUUUCAGGAAAAUCGAUUGUCGACACCUUAUUAGUUUAAAAAAUUAAUAGAAAAGGGCUAAAUACUGUCAGCGCUAUAACAGUAAAAGCCCGUACUAAUAGACCAUAAGGAGGUGCGAUAUUGCCGGGAGUUGUCAGUUCUCUACUAAUAUACGUCCGUGGUAUGGAUGAAGUGGAUACAUUUUUAUGGUUACGGAUAAGAAGUGUACACCUAAUUUGGAAACCACACUGCCAACUCUUGAAGCUUGAUGGCAGCACCAUCGUUGGUUCAAAAUUCCAAUUCAAGCAUACAAUAUUACGUUAAAAUUUAUUUUCCUUUAUAGAAGAUCUUUUUUCUUCAAUUGGAGAAAAGCACCAUGGCAAAUUAACCUGUUUAAAUUCUUCGAUCGUCCACACAAAAUACUUUUUCAUUUUGGAACACCGGAAUUUCGCGGCAAAGUAGACCAACGAUUGUGCGUCACCUGCGAUCCAGCUUGACAACUGUGGGCCCCCAUUAUAACAGAAGGUGAACUAAAUGGAUGAUAAUCGAUUUCGCAGAAAUCAGUUCUACAGGGUAAAUGUUAUACAGACUUGUUUCUACAGAAAUUUUUCUACAGAAUAUUUUCCUACAGAAUGGAAUUCGAGAUCCACAUCAGAAAUAAUCCUACAUCAAUUAUUCUACAUGACAAUUAUUGUACAAAAUUUUUUAUAUAGAACAGUUUUAUAGCUUCACACAUCCAACACAAUAUCUGUUUGACACAACACACACACAUAAAUUCAACACAAAUAAUUUAAAUUAAAUUGAAUCAAAAUGUAUAAAAUCAAUGAUUAAAUGUAUGAUUUUGACAAUUCGAUGAUUACUUUGAAUGUGUACUGUGUCAAUCACAAUUUGUAGAAAAAUGUUGUGUAGAAAAAUUUGCUGUAGAAAAAUACUUUUGUAGAACAAUUCCCCAGUAGAAUAACUCAUGCAGAAUUAUUUCUGAUGUGAAUCAAAUUCCUUUCUGUGGAAAAAUAUUUUUGUCGAAACAAGUCUGUAAAACAUAUUCUGUAGAACAUUUGAUCUGUAGAACUGAUUUCUGUAGUAUUGAACCACAUUCAACUAAAUAAGUGGGCAACCAUUUCUAAUCUAAAGGUGACUACUAGCACAUUCGCCCUACAUACAAUUCUUUUCUAUUUCGUAUCUGCAUUUUGCAUGUGUUUUAACUUUAAUUUAAUGAGGUACAACAAGCUGAUCUUAUUCUAUCAGCAAGAUUUUACGUUCUCUGUCAAGUAUUUUACAUACCCCAUAUACAUAUAAUUAUGAAGCUGAAGAUAGCAGCCAGAGUUAGCAGCCAAACGUAAUUAACUAUUUGUAAAUAGAAAUAUGCAGUUCCGUUUUAUCCUCAUAAUUCUAUUAAAGUAUUGGGGAUUCAAGAUAUUUCAUAAGAUUUUGAUUUUCUGUCUUAAUCACGUUAUUUGAAUGAACAUUAGAACGUUUGGCUGCUCAUUCUGGCUGCUGGUUUCAAUCUCGUUAUAUGUUUACGUGCAGAAGCAACUGUUAUAUCUGACAAUGAUUUGUAAAUUAAAUAUUAUAGUCAAUUUAGGUGGUCAUAAUGCCUGUUGCAGUAUUUUGGGUUAGAAUAGUGGUUACCUAAACUUUGGUUUUUCUUAAUGCUGUUACGCUUACAUUGGCAUACCGGACAACAAAUUUUUCAAUAAUCUUCAUUAUUAGUUCAAGGUUUAUUGAAGACAGAAUCUUUACAUUCCAGGUUGAGAUGUAUGCUUACAACUAAAAGGACUACAUCUUUCGGUUUGAUGGGCACAAAUUUAAUCUAUCCAUAGCUCCUCUAGUUUUUAUUAUAGUUUCACGGAAUUUCGUGAAUUUUAAUAACUUGGGAUUAUGUAAUUUUUAAUAACAUAUAAAAAUCAUGCCACUUAUGACACCUAUAAAAAUAACGUAUCAGUUCUAUUGGGUAACUUCCAGACCUGGUCCUUCGAUUCUUAAGGAAGUCAAGUUUAAGUCCGUUAAUUAACAAAACCUAAUGCGUUGACUGAAGAUAUGUAAAAAAGUUCUGCCCUGGGCUAAUAUUGCUUCUGGUUGGGUGGGUUGAGGGGUAAAUGUUGCUCUGUAUGUACCGACCCGUCUUGUGGGAUCCCAAUGUUAAAUCGAGAAGACUCCUUAAAUUUUCUCCCGGCUGUUCAUCUCCCCAAAUCAGGUAUUUAACCGUGAAGCAAAGUCUAUAAGGUUAGCAGUCUGUAUGCAUCUUCAGUAAACGUUUGAUGUGGUCAUGUAAUCAUAUAGGUAUAUAGCUCAUGCUAUAACUGUCGUGACUAACAAUAAAGUCAAAACUUGUUUACUGAUCUGUGAAUCCCGGAAGAACAUUAAGAAUAUCUAUUUGCUGAACAAUAAGGCUCCGUAUUGCACAAGUUUCAGCAUGUGAUUGAAAAAUAUAAAAAUAAAUUUUAUCACCCUUGCUUAGACCACCGUGAAAUCCGCUUAUAACACAAAGCUUGAAAAUUCAUUUUCCAACUAUUCCAUUGAACCAGCUUGUUCUUUCGUAAGAGCCAAUCCAAUCUAUUCAAGCAUUAAUACAAUUCUUUAUAUGAGUAUAAUGUAUGAGUAUCUUAUAUUUUUGGCUCCGAAACGUGUAUUAAGAAUCAGUAAUAUUUUAUCUAAACUCAUUAAAAGCUAGAAAAUAUCGGAGGUUUAUGCAUCAAACAAGGGAAUUAUCACCAAUUUUAACCAAAAUAAUCUGAGGUUGCAAUUGUGAUAUCUCUAUCUCUACGGUUCUGAACAGUGGUUGCAUAUAUUAAGACUUCAGACUUUUUCUGAAGCUAUGAAUUUUCUUAACUGCACUAUUUUUGUUAUAUACAUACUCUCACGAAAUUUGUCAAGUUUUUAUGAAACGAAAUUUCCAUUGUCGGCUUACUCAAAUUUUGAUGU
RNAcentral lists this unclassified non-coding RNA (8875 nucleotides) under Neodiprion lecontei (redheaded pine sawfly). RNAcentral describes it as "zinc finger protein OZF, transcript variant X1". The record is from RNAcentral. Lineage: Eukaryota; Metazoa; Arthropoda; Insecta; Hymenoptera; Diprionidae.